AACGCUAGCUACAGGCUUAACACAUGCAAGUCGAGGGGCAUCAGGGUAGCAAUACCGCUGGCGACCGGCGCACGGGUGAGUAACACGUAUCCAACCUACCGUUAACUCGGGGAUAGCCUUUCGAAAGAAAGAUUAAUACCCGAUAGUAUAUUUUCUUCGCAUAUUGAAAAUAUUAAAGAAUUUCGGUUAUCGAUGGGGAUGCGUUCCAUUAGGCAGUUGGCGGGGUAACGGCCCACCAAACCUACGAUGGAUAGGGGUUCUGAGAGGAAGGUCCCCCACAUUGGAACUGAGACACGGUCCAAACUCCUACGGGAGGCAGCAGUGAGGAAUAUUGGUCAAUGGACGAAGGUCUGAACCAGCCAAGUAGCGUGAAGGAUGACUGCCCUAUGGGUUGUAAACUUCUUUUAUAUGGGAAUAAAGUUCUCCACGUGUGGAGUUUUGUAUGUACCAUUAUGAAUAAGCAUCGGCUAACUCCGUGCCAGCAGCCGCGGUAAUACGGAGGAUGCGAGCGUUAUCCGGAUUUAUUGGGUUUAAAGGGAGCGUAGGUGGACUGGUAAGUCAGUUGUGAAAGUUUGCGGCUCAACCGUAAAAUUGCAGUUGAUACUGUCAGUCUUGAGUACAGUAGAGGUGGGCGGAAUUCGUGGUGUAGCGGUGAAAUGCUUAGAUAUCACGAAGAACUCCGAUUG
This 686-nucleotide ribosomal RNA is filed under the name uncultured bacterium. RNAcentral's name for it is "bacterial SSU rRNA". It matches the Rfam family "Bacterial small subunit ribosomal RNA", at positions 32 to 715 of the family's 1533-position model. The record is from RNAcentral.